Non-coding RNA from Kogia breviceps (pygmy sperm whale), 718 nucleotides. The record is from RefSeq and is a predicted model, not a curated record. NCBI's taxonomy places the organism in Eukaryota, Metazoa, Chordata, Mammalia, Artiodactyla, Physeteridae.
UCCUACCAGAAACCAACUGACUUCCAAACUUGGCUGUCUGAAAAAGAAUGUUCUCUGAUUGGCAUUCCUGGAAGCAGAAAGCAAGGCAGCUCAAGUUGUGUUCUGUUGCUCAGCAUGAAAAACUUCCCAGGUAUACAUAAUACAAACAAACAGCAGGAGAAGAGGGUGCAAGAAACACUUCUAUCUCCCUGUCAAGUCUUCUUUUCCAGGACUGUCUUGUAAACUUUGCAUUGCUUUAAAAAGGAAACAGGGCUUCCCUGGUGGCACAGUGGUUAAGAAUCUGCCUGCUAAUGCAGGGGACAUGGGUUCGAGCCCUGGUCUGGGAGGAUCCCACAUGCUGCAGAGCAACUAGGCCCGUGAGCCACAACUACUGAGCCUGUGCGUCUGGAGCCUGUGCUCUGCAACAAGAGAGGCCACGAUAGUGAGAGGCCCACAUACUGCGAUGAAGAGUGGCCCCCGCUUGCCACAACUAGAGAAAGCCCUUGCACAGAAACCAAGACCCAACACAGCAAAAAUAAAUAAAUUAAUUAAUAAACUCCUACCCCCAACAUCUUCUUUAAAAAAAAAAAAAAGGAAACAAAUUUUCCAACCUCUCUCCAAAAUGAUCCCAACAGAUUCAGCAAUUGUGCAUGUAUGUGGGGAGGCAACAUAUAUUUCAUACUUUUCUACAAACCUAUCCAAUACUAAAAUGACAGCUAAAUCCCAGCAAAGUAUACAA